Leopardus geoffroyi (Geoffroy's cat) is the source of this 604-nucleotide long non-coding RNA. RefSeq lists it as uncharacterized. NCBI's taxonomy places the organism in Eukaryota, Metazoa, Chordata, Mammalia, Carnivora, Felidae. The transcript is spliced from 2 exons. The record is from RefSeq and is a predicted model, not a curated record.
UCUGCUUAGAUAUUGUUUCCUCCAGGAAGUCUUCCGUGGUCCAUAAAGUUGGGGUUUGACGCCUCUUCUGUGAAUUCCCAUAGCACCCUAGACUUGACUAGCACUGUGCUCAUCACGCUGUGUUGUAAUUACCUGGGGUUUCACCUCGCCCUCCCACCAGAACAUACCCUUCCAAAGGAACAGGAACCAAAUCUGCAUUGCUCACUGCUGCUUCCCUAGCACCUUUGCAAAGAAUGUCUCACAUGGGUGUAGGCAGGCCGCCAUCCCUCAGAUUGAUUGACUGAUAAACCCUCCAGAAGGCAGGGACAAGAUCAGUGCUCAAACCUACAGCUCAAGCUCUCAACUCCUGUCUGAAUGUCAGAACCACAUCUCCAAAUGCUUACCGGAUAUCUUCUGCUUGAAGUAAAUGCGUUCAAAACUGAGUUUAUUACCUUCUUGUAAUAAACAGAGAAAAUCAUGCUCACCAAGUAUUCUAUGUGCUCCCCUCUACUUUCCAAACUUCUGUAGUUAGGAGAGGCCAUAAGACUGGUUCUGGCCAAUGAAAUGUGCAUGGAAGCAACAUACGUCAUGUCUGGGCUGGGGUAAUAAAAAGCCCUGUACACAA